This 497-nucleotide ribosomal RNA is filed under the name uncultured bacterium. Its description in RNAcentral is "partial 16S ribosomal RNA". It matches the Rfam family "Bacterial small subunit ribosomal RNA", at positions 28 to 507 of the family's 1533-position model. The record is from RNAcentral.
GACGAACGCUGGCGGCGUGCCUAAUACAUGCAAGUUGAGCGCUGAAGGUUGGUACUUGUACCAACUGGAUGAGCAGCGAACGGGUGAGUAACGCGUGGGGAAUCUGCCUUUGAGCGGGGGACAACAUUUGGAAACGAAUGCUAAUACCGCAUAAAAACUUUAAACACAAGUUUUAAGUUUGAAAGAUGCAAUUGCAUCACUCAAAGAUGAUCCCGCGUUGUAUUAGCUAGUUGGUGAGGUAAAGGCUCACCAAGGCGAUGAUACAUAGCCGACCUGAGAGGGUGAUCGGCCACAUUGGGACUGAGACACGGCCCAAACUCCUACGGGAGGCAGCAGUAGGGAAUCUUCGGCAAUGGACGAAAGUCCGACCGAGCAACGCCGCGUGAGUGAAGAAGGUUGUCGGAUCGUAAAACUCUGUUGGUAGAGAAGAACGUUGGUGAGAGUGGAAAGCUCAUCAAGUGACGGUAACUACCCAGAAAGGGACGGCUAACUACGUG